UCUUCCAUAGUGUAGUGAUCAAUGUGUGAGCUUGUCAUCCAACAACGCUCGAGAUCUGGGUUCAAUUCCUGGUGGAAAGA
Non-coding RNA from Triangularia setosa, 80 nucleotides. NCBI's taxonomy places the organism in Eukaryota, Fungi, Ascomycota, Sordariomycetes, Sordariales, Podosporaceae. The record is from the annotation of a GenBank genome assembly.